GUCACAGGAGGGAGGUCGGUCGUGGUGUUGCGGAGGGUGAGUGUGUGAAUCGGGUGUACAGAGCGUAAAGUGUGGGCAGUCGGCCGCGCGGGUAGAGUGUGAAAGUCCCGGGAUGAACUUGGGAGCGGCGUGCGAAACUACGUGGCGUGGGUGUGGCAGAGGAGGGUGGAAUUCCAGGUGUAGCGGUGAAAGGCGUAGGGAGCUGGAGGAACGCCGAUGGCGAAGGCAGCCUUCUGGGCCAACACUGACGCUCAUGCACGAAAGCGUGGGGAGCAAACAGGAUUAGAUACCCUAGUAGUC
RNAcentral lists this ribosomal RNA (300 nucleotides) under uncultured Clostridium sp. Its description in RNAcentral is "bacterial SSU rRNA". The stretch from base 57 to 300 matches the Rfam family "Bacterial small subunit ribosomal RNA", at positions 552 to 795 of the family's 1533-position model. Lineage: Bacteria; Bacillati; Bacillota; Clostridia; Eubacteriales; Clostridiaceae. The record is from RNAcentral.